This 3436-nucleotide long non-coding RNA is filed under the name Canis lupus familiaris (dog). RNAcentral describes it as "lncRNA (ENSCAFG00000057844.1)". Lineage: Eukaryota; Metazoa; Chordata; Mammalia; Carnivora; Canidae. The record is from RNAcentral.
AUUGAAGAGUGUAGGUAUGGAGGUUUUACUCCAAGAUCCACCUUUUGGGGGUUGUGGUAUUCUGAGCCAGUGGUUUUCUUAACCUCUGAGUAUUAAUUUCCUCUUUUGUAGAACGAGAUUAUUAGCAAUAGUAAUACACAGGGCAGCAAAAGCGUUGUAACUACAAAAUGUGCCACAGUUUCCAACAGAACAGUCAUAAUUUCCUAAGGAUGUACCAAAAUAUCCUCAUCUGUGUGGCAUGGAGCAGUGUAUGGGAAUGGGAUUCUCUCUGUCCUGGUUUAAACCAAUGAGGACACUGACAUGGGAAUAUGAAACCUCAGAGAGAAUGUGUGUGCAGAAUAUUGUGGGGAGUCAUGGACCACCACCCCAAGAAUACAUGGGGGUCCUGAGACGGGAGAGGAAGGAGGGGCAUUUUGCAAAAACACUUUCUUCUGGGAAUGCAGCUACAGUUCUCCGAGGACCCCACUCAAUGGGAUGGGACCAGGGAGCCCUCCCUUGUCCAGAAUCUAUAAAGGGGCCUUCUGUGGGGCUUUUUGGAGACCUGGGCACAUGUGCCCUGCAGCUGGGAGACCGAUGCUGGACUAAGGCCACCAAGGUUGCCACCUAACUCACCUGUGCUCCCAGAGCCCUGCCUGAUGGAGAGGGCAAAGGGACACAGCAGGGGCUGGAGGGGAGGGAAGUCAUAGCCAGAGAGGUGCAGCUGUAGGGGGGCAUCCCUGGGUCUCUUUCAAGUGCCUGCCAGCCCCUGGCUGGACAAAGCUCACAGAGGCAGUGGCAGAUGCCAGCCAAAGGAGAGCCCUGCCAGUCCUCCUUCCCACCCCAGCACUCAGACACUGCAUUCAGGGGAAUAGGAGACUUAAUACUGACUCAACCCAAAGCCUGCAUCAUAUCCUGAAGUGACCACAGUGACUGCCAGGACCUGAGGAUAACCAGGAAGGUAUUGAGAAUCCUCUGGUUCCCAUCUGGGGCAGGGUCUGGACUGUAGGGGAUCAGGGUCAUGCUGUGCUUUGCUCUGUCUAAAACCUGGCAGCCCAGCAUUCAGGUUCCUACAAAGGUGCAGCCCAUUCCCUAGGGUGUGGAGGGGCAGGGCCACCCACCGUCCAUCUGCAGCAUUCUCCAGGGCAACCAUGAACCUCGUGCAGGGACUGAAGCCCCCUGGGCCUUAUCCCAGGGCUCAGUACAGUGUGGGGGAUGUGGACUCAGAGAGGGAAGAAGCAACAUUUUCGUGACAAAAGUAGGCUAGUGUCCUGGGCAGAGGGUUCGGAGAGCCUGAGCGGUGAGGUCAGAGUUGAGGACUGUGUGGGCACCUGCGGGGCAGCCCUGGGAGUGGACGGGCAGAUACAAGGCAGGGGGCACCAGAUCCUGGAGCAGGGGCAUCAGCCGGUCCAGGAAUUGGACCACCUGGUUGGUCAGGCACUCUGUCAGCCAGAAGGCAUCGUGGGCUCAGGCUCCUGCAAGCUGGUAGCUUGGAGCAGCAUUGAGAUCAUUAGCUCCCAGUGCUGGGCUCAGGUUGAUAGGUGCAGGGUGAGCCCAGACAAUGGGAGUGUUAAAGCUCUGCAGGUGAUUCUAAUGUGAGGCCAGCGUUGAAAUGCCAAUGCUAGGGCAGCAUUUUCUCAGACUUACAAGUGUUUGUGAAUCUCAUGUAAAUGGAGAUUCUGAUUCUGAUGACAGUACUGCUGGCCUACAGACCAACAUUUGAGUAGCAAGGAUCCAAAUCUGUGUAAACUAACCAACAUGGAACCAUUAGCCUCAUGUGACUAUUUUGUUUUGUUUUGUUUUGUUUUGUUUUGUUUUGUUUUAAAUAAACUCUCCCCACAACGUGGGGCUCGAUCUCAGGACCCCAAGAUCAGUCGCAUGCUUUACCCACUUGAGCCAGCCAGGUGCCCCAUGUGUGGCUGUUUAAAUGUAAACGUAAACGAAUUAAAAUUAAAUUUGAAAAAUCAGUUCCUCAGUCACACUGGCCACAUCUCAAGGACUCAGCACUCCCAUAUCUUAUGACUAGCUGGCAGCCCAAAGGUCAUUUCCACCACUGGAGAAAGGUCUGUUAAAUGGCACUGUUUUGGGGCAAGUAGCAUCUUCCUGACACCCUAUAAGGUUGUGCUUGUCCUGUAAUACUUUCACCUGUCUGUAUGUCUGUCUCCCUCACUACAUCAGCUUCCCAAAGUCAGGGUCUGUGGUGGAUUUACCCACCACUUAUACACACUCAGUAUGCAGGUAAAUAAUGACAAUAAGAGUUACUGUAUAUUAGGCACUCACUAAGUGUCAAGAAUCAUAUUGAAUGCUUUACAUUUUAAUUUCUGACAAUAAUCCUAUUUUAUAAAUGGGAAUGGUGGAAUGUAGUCAAAGAACUUGCCAAAAGGAACAUAGCAGGUGAACUGUAGAGGGGAAUUUGGUGCCACGUAGACCACCUCUGCAGCCAUGUGCCCUUUGCUAUUACUCUACACUGUGGUGGUUCUCACCUGGGGGCGGCUCUGUCCCCCAGAAAACUUUUCGCAGUAUCUGGACACAUACUUGAUUGUUACACUGUGGUGGGAGGGAGACACUACCAGCACCUAGUGGGUAGAGGUUAAACAUAUCAUGGUGCACAGGACAGCCCCCAACAACAAAUAAUCAUCCAGCCCCAAGUCUCAAUAGUGCCAAGGCCGAGAACUGUUGUUUACCACUCAACAAGUAAGUUAUAAUGGGGAGAGAAUGGUGUAUGGGAAAGUUGUGGGAUCAUACUCCUUAAUAUGAGAUGGUCUGCGAGGUAGUGAAUGAAGAGUAAAGAAAAAGCCUGUGUUCAGAUUCCAUCUUUGUUACAUAUGGGCUAUACGAUCCUGAACAAGUCCUUUGAUCCAUGUGAUUCUCUGUUCAUGUCUCUAAAAUGGGGAUUGGAAAGAUUUUUACAUUACAAGGAAGCUCAUGAGGGUCAUUAGGAAGACGAUAUGGCUAUGGAAAUCAAGACUGAACACACCUUUGCUGUGAACAUUUCUUGGGUGGGGAGGAAUUUCUCUGCCUGUCCAGGGGAAGUGAGAGAUGAUAGAGGAAGAGGAAUCUAAGCCCUGUGGGUGAGGGCCCGUCUGAUUACUUUGGACUUUGAGUGCAGCUUGUGUAUCACAGCUCUAUGUCCUUGAGCCUGUCUCUGGCUUCCUGGGUGUCCACUUUGAGAUGAGGGGAUUGGGCUGGACACUUUGGGGAUGUCUGCCUGCCUUACCAUGCAGAGAGCUGGGCAGCUGCACCUAAAGUUAAGAAAAGAGCCAUGCAAAGCAUGUGACACCUGGGAUACCCCCCAGUAAAUGUGCCCGCAUGGGCCCAGGUUCCCAACCCUACAUAUCCCAAUCCAGAUAUGAUUCGUGCAUUGAUUUUUGUUUAUAAAUGCUUUUUCAUGGAUUUUUCCCUCUGAGCAACAAGAGCCCAGUUAUAGCUGGUGCUAUAACAACAACAAGAAAAAAAAAAA